AACGCUGGCGGCGUGCUUAACACAUGCAAGUCGAACGGGGCGAAUUGAAAGCUUGCUUUAACGAGCCUAGUGGCAAACGGGUGAGUAACGCGUAGGCAACCUGCCCUCAGGAUGGGGACAACGGCCCGAAAGGACCGCUAAUACCGAAUGACGUAUCGGGAUCGCAUGAUACUGAUACCAAAGGCGGAGCAAUCCGUCACCUGAGGAUGGGCCUGCGUCUGAUUAGGUAGUUGGUGAGGUAACGGCCCACCAAGCCGACGAUCAGUAGCCGGUCUGAGAGGAUGAACGGCCACAUUGGGACUGAGACACGGCCCAGACUCCUACGGGAGGCAGCAGUGGGGAAUCUUCCGCAAUGGGCGAAAGCCUGACGGAGCAACGCCGCGUGAGUGAAGAAGGUCUUCGGAUCGUAAAGCUCUGUUGUCGGGGACGAAGGGGCGGAUCAGGAAAUGGGUCUGCUUAGACGGUACCUGACGAGGAAGCCACGGCUAACUACGUGCC
Molecule: ribosomal RNA, 498 nt
Filed under: uncultured bacterium
Lineage: Bacteria
Description: bacterial SSU rRNA
Rfam family: Bacterial small subunit ribosomal RNA
Source: RNAcentral